GCCGGGGUGGCAGAGCGGACUCGCGGCAGGCUCGAGACCUGUUUCCCCUUCUGGGGUGCUUGGGUUCGAAUCCCAACCCCGGCG
Molecule: transfer RNA, 84 nt
Filed under: Methanosalsum zhilinae DSM 4017
Lineage: Archaea; Methanobacteriati; Methanobacteriota; Methanomicrobia; Methanosarcinales; Methanosarcinaceae
Description: tRNA-Ser (CGA) (tRNA-Ser-CGA-1-1)
Rfam family: tRNA
About the family: Transfer RNA (tRNA) molecules are approximately 80 nucleotides in length. Their secondary structure includes four short double-helical elements and three loops (D, anti-codon, and T loops). Further hydrogen bonds mediate the characteristic L-shaped molecular structure. tRNAs have two regions of fundamental functional importance: the anti-codon, which is responsible for specific mRNA codon recognition, and the 3' end, to which the tRNAs corresponding amino acid is attached (by aminoacyl-tRNA synthetases). tRNAs cope with the degeneracy of the genetic code in two manners: having more than one tRNA (with a specific anti-codon) for a particular amino acid; and 'wobble' base-pairing, i.e. permitting non-standard base-pairing at the 3rd anti-codon position.
Source: RNAcentral